GAUGAACGCUGGCGGCGUGCCUAAUACAUGCAAGUCGAGCGAACAGACGAGGAGCUUGCUCCUCUGACGUUAGCGGCGGACGGGUGAGUAACACGUGGAUAACCUACCUAUAAGACUGGGAUAACUUCGGGAAACCGGAGCUAAUACCGGAUAAUAUAUUGAACCGCAUGGUUCAAUAGUGAAAGACGGUUUUGCUGUCACUUAUAGAUGGAUCCGCGCCGCAUUAGCUAGUUGGUAAGGUAACGGCUUACCAAGGCAACGAUGCGUAGCCGACCUGAGAGGGUGACCGCCCGCAGGAGAAGACAGCCCGGGCCCAGCCCCAGCGGGAGGGAGCAGGAGGGGAUCCGCCGGAAGGGGCAGAAGCCCUGACAAGAACCCCCCGGUGGGUAAAGAAGUGUUUCCAGUUCAAAAACCUUUUUUAUGAGGAAAAACAAAUUGGUAAGUAAAAUAGACCCUUUUGAGGGUACCCCAAUAGGAAGCCCCGGCCAAGCCCCGCC
This 497-nucleotide ribosomal RNA is filed under the name uncultured bacterium. RNAcentral describes it as "partial 16S ribosomal RNA". It matches the Rfam family "Bacterial small subunit ribosomal RNA", at positions 28 to 509 of the family's 1533-position model. The record is from RNAcentral.